Molecule: transfer RNA, 57 nt
Filed under: Ovis aries (sheep)
Lineage: Eukaryota; Metazoa; Chordata; Mammalia; Artiodactyla; Bovidae
Rfam family: tRNA
About the family: Transfer RNA (tRNA) molecules are approximately 80 nucleotides in length. Their secondary structure includes four short double-helical elements and three loops (D, anti-codon, and T loops).
Source: Rfam by way of RNAcentral
UAGCUCAGUUGGUAGAACAUCUACCUGCAAUGCAGGAGACCUAGGUUCAAUUCCUAG